UGGGGAAUAUUGGACAAUGGGCGCAAGCCUGAUCCAGCCAUGCCGCGUGAGUGAUGAAGGCCCUAGGGUUGUAAAGCUCUUUUACCCGGGAAGAUAAUGACGGUACCGGGAGAAUAAGCCCCGGCUAACUUCGUGCCAGCAGCCGCGGUAAUACGAAGGGGGCUAGCGUUGUUCGGAAUCACUGGGCGUAAAGCGCACGUAGGCGGAUCUUUAAGUCAGGGGUGAAAUCCCGGGGCUCAACCUCGGAACUGCCUUUGAUACUGGAGAUCUCGAGUCCGGGAGAGGUGAGUGGAACUGCGAGUGUAGAGGUGAAAUUCGUAGAUAUUCGCAAGAACACCAGUGGCGAAGGCGGCUCACUGGCCCGGUACUGACGCUGAGGUGCGAAAGCGUGGGGAGCAAACA
This 402-nucleotide ribosomal RNA is filed under the name uncultured prokaryote. RNAcentral describes it as "bacterial SSU rRNA". It matches the Rfam family "Bacterial small subunit ribosomal RNA", at positions 355 to 774 of the family's 1533-position model. The record is from RNAcentral.